Molecule: ribosomal RNA, 1015 nt
Filed under: Vibrio sp.
Lineage: Bacteria; Pseudomonadati; Pseudomonadota; Gammaproteobacteria; Vibrionales; Vibrionaceae
Description: bacterial SSU rRNA
Rfam family: Bacterial small subunit ribosomal RNA
Source: RNAcentral
GGUCCAGACUCCUACGGGAGGCAGCAGUGGGGAAUAUUGCACAAUGGGCGCAAGCCUGAUGCAGCCAUGCCGCGUGUAUGAAGAAGGCCUUCGGGUUGUAAAGUACUUUCAGCAGUGAGGAAGGAGGUAUCGUUAAUAGCGGUAUUCUUUGACGUUAGCUGCAGAAGAAGCACCGGCUAACUCCGUGCCAGCAGCCGCGGUAAUACGGAGGGUGCGAGCGUUAAUCGGAAUUACUGGGCGUAAAGCGCAUGCAGGUGGUUUGUUAAGUCAGAUGUGAAAGCCCGGGGCUCAACCUCGGAAUUGCAUUUGAAACUGGCAGGCUAGAGUACUGUAGAGGGGGGUAGAAUUUCAGGUGUAGCGGUGAAAUGCGUAGAGAUCUGAAGGAAUACCGGUGGCGAAGGCGGCCCCCUGGACAGAUACUGACACUCAGAUGCGAAAGCGUGGGGAGCAAACAGGAUUAGAUACCCUGGUAGUCCACGCCGUAAACGAUGUCUACUUGGAGGUUGUGGCCUUGAGCCGUGGCUUUCGGAGCUAACGCGUUAAGUAGACCGCCUGGGGAGUACGGUCGCAAGAUUAAAACUCAAAUGAAUUGACGGGGGCCCGCACAAGCGGUGGAGCAUGUGGUUUAAUUCGAUGCAACGCGAAGAACCUUACCUACUCUUGACAUCCAGAGAACUUAGCAGAGAUGCUUUGGUGCCUUCGGGAACUCUGAGACAGGUGCUGCAUGGCUGUCGUCAGCUCGUGUUGUGAAAUGUUGGGUUAAGUCCCGCAACGAGCGCAACCCUUAUCCUUGUUUGCCAGCGAGUAAUGUCGGGAACUCCAGGGAGACUGCCGGUGAUAAACCGGAGGAAGGUGGGGACGACGUCAAGUCAUCAUGGCCCUUACGAGUAGGGCUACACACGUGCUACAAUGGCGCAUACAGAGGGCGGCCAACUUGCGAAAGUGAGCGAAUCCCAAAAAGUGCGUCGUAGUCCGGAUUGGAGUCUGCAACUCGACUCCAUGAAGUCGGAAUCGC